Long non-coding RNA from Saccostrea cuccullata (small rock oyster), 191 nucleotides. RefSeq lists it as uncharacterized. The record is from RefSeq and is a predicted model, not a curated record. NCBI's taxonomy places the organism in Eukaryota, Metazoa, Mollusca, Bivalvia, Ostreida, Ostreidae. The transcript has 3 exons.
AUCAAGUAUAAAAACCUACAAAUUCAUGGUAGAUGGUAGAAAGCAAUAUUUUAUCGGCUACAUGAAAGUAGUAAUUGAUUCCCAAGGAUGUGCCUGAGCCAUUGUUAAGAGGACGACGAUAUCACCACCAUGCAGGACAAAGAAGCAAGAUGAAAAGAAACAAACUUGUGGUUACCAGAUACCAGAAAUUG